Molecule: microRNA precursor, 120 nt
Filed under: Marmota monax (woodchuck)
Lineage: Eukaryota; Metazoa; Chordata; Mammalia; Rodentia; Sciuridae
Source: RNAcentral
CAAGGUGACUGACUGUCCUGGUUUCUCCAGAACUGAAGGGUUUCUUGAGACAUUGAACUUUCAGGUUUAAAAGUGGAGCAGUCAUGGACAAAUCUGGAUGGUUGGUCACCCUGGUUAACU